RNAcentral lists this long non-coding RNA (8228 nucleotides) under Trifolium pratense (red clover). Its description in RNAcentral is "long non-coding RNA (TPRA_LNC001780)". The record is from RNAcentral. Lineage: Eukaryota; Viridiplantae; Streptophyta; Magnoliopsida; Fabales; Fabaceae.
GGUUGAAGAUGCAAGAAGAAGCUAAAAUUGAUGUCACUGUUGAACCAAUAUUGUCUAGUUACUAUCAUGUUUCAAUCUUGUCUCAAAAAUCAUUGGAAACUGCUUUGGCCAAUCAUCUUUCAGUCAAACUAAGCAGUGUAAGUCUUCCUAGUACAACACUUUCUGAUCUUUUUGUUGGUGUUUUUGAAUCUGAUAAAGAAAUUAUGGAUGCUAUGAAAAAUGAUUUGAUAGCAGUUAAGGAAAGAGAUCCUGCUUGUAUAAGUCAUGUGCAUUGUUUCUUGAAUUUCAAAGGCUUUUUAGCAUGUCAAGCUCAUAGGGUAGCUCAUAAUUUAUGGUCAAAUGGAAGGAAAGUUUUAGCUGUUAUGAUUCAGAAUCGAGUUUCAGAAGUUUUUGGAGUUGAUAUUCAUCCGGGAGCUAAGAUCGGAAGUGGGAUUUUGCUCGAUCACGCAACGGGGAUUGUGGUCGGUGAAACAGCUAUUAUUGGUAAUGAUGUUUCAAUUUUGCACGGUGUGACUUUAGGAGGGACCGGUAAGGCUCAUGGUGACAGGCAUCCGAAGAUUGGUGAUGGAGUGUUGAUAGGUGCCGGAACUUGUAUCUUAGGGAAUAUUAAGAUUGGUGAUGGCGCGAAAAUUGGUGCUGGUUCGGUCGUGAUUAUGGAAGUUCCUCCAAGGACAACGGUCGUUGGGAAUCCGGCUAAAUUGAUUGGAGGGAAGAAUAAUCCUAUUAAACUUGAUAAAAUUCCUAGUCACACUAUGGAUCAUAUUUCACAUGUUUCUGAAUUUUAUGAUUAUGUUAUCUAGAGUAUAGUCUUGAAAAAAAUAAUUUAUAGUUUGAUGUUUAGAAUUUCGAAUCGAGUUAUCUAAAUUUGGGGGUUCUUGUUUGUUAUGUAAGAGAGAAUCUUUGUUCUCCUGCUAUGUUAAUAAUAAAAAAAAUGAAAAUAAUUAUGCCCUGACAUUUAGACUAUGGUAUUAUUUCAUAUGCAAUUGUAUUUUCAUUGCUUUGUGCUACUUCUUGUAAAAGUUGUAGCAUUCUAGCUUCAAGUGAUUGCAAACCAGAACUGCCCCCCCCCGAACAAGAUUAGGUGGUCCUAUGAGCCGGAUACUGUGGUGAAAACCAAAAAAGAGGUGUUCAAGCUCCUUCACAGUCACAACUCUAUGGCACCAUCGGCUUGAUCACCCUAUAACAUAAAACAAUUGAAUGCUAGUAGAACCUAUAGUUGCAUUUCAGAAUAUGUAUAAAAACAUUUGUAUAUGAAGCUUUUCUACAUAUGGUCAUCAUGUCAAAAAUGGGUAGUAUCACCGCUACCAAUUCGACAAUCUAUAGCUUCCGAAAACCAAUUUGUCGCAUAACAGUGAAUCAGUCAAAGAGGAGAAUCAGCUUCUAAAAAACAUAGUAAAUAAUUCUAUGGAAUUAUAACAUGGCAAAGAGGAAAAGAUGAAGAAGAUAAAAAAAUUGUAUCAGAUGAUUGAAGAUGAGGUUGCAGACACAAUACGAAAACCAGUGUCUGCAGAUGCAAGAAGAAAAUAUGUACUACAGACGUGACACGAGACAAUAUCAAACUUUGAAGAAACUAUUGACCUUACUCAGACAGACCAUAGUUGUAUCCACUAAGAUGGGGGCGUGUAGGUGCUGGUGAUAACUCCUUAGGAACUGCUCGCUUGACCUCGACCAUUUUACCAUUCAUUAAACGUCUCAAGUAAGACGAGCUUAAACAUAAGUGAAAAAUCCAUAGUCUCUAAGUGUUGUGACACAUUACCACAACAUCUGUUAUAGUCCCAAACUGAUCAUCAAAGUACAUUUUGAAAUCACUCUUUGUCACUGUUAUUGGAUAAAAAAACAUUCUAAGCCACAUGANNNNNNNNNNNNNNNNNNNNNNNNNNNNNNNNNNNNNNNNNNNNNNNNNNGAUAAGCCACAUCCUUAACCUUCUUCAGCAAGGCUCCAAAAUUAUUGUUAAGACAAUGAAUUAGAACAUUUUAAUCUACUAGCAUCUCUUGUUUAUUUGUUAUACUCUAUGUAGGUAAAUACGAUGUAACAAGAAACAUGAAAGUACUAAGCUAAUUACUUAUUCAACUUAUCAGACUAAUGAACUUUGAUAUUGCUACUAUAAUGGAAGCAAUCCUAUGUUUACUAGAGGCACCAAUGCACCAUACCAGUUAGAAUAUUUUACUUCCGCUAGCCAAAGAAAUGCUAACAGUGUUAUAAUCCAAAUGAGUAUUCUCAUUUUCUUUCAGCCACUUGCAGAGUCAAUUCAUAGGUUUUCAAAAUGUUUUCAAGAAUGUACAUAAUAGAGCAUGCAGAAACUAACAUUGUAAAUUUUUUGUGUAGAAGAAAAAGUUGCAAUUGGACGAAGCACAGCCACCGGACACGACACGGACACUAACACGUCGACACCGAUAAUAAUUUGAGAAAAUGACAUAAUUCAAUGUAUCCAUAAGUGCCGGUGUCGGACACCGACGUGUGGACACACCUAAUCUGAGGAGUAUAUAUGCUUCAUGAAUUAAUUGGUUUACAGAAGUCUUGAUUACUCUUUAGCCAAAAUAGAAUUAGUUUAUCAAGAAUGCAAAAUGGAUAAUGCACCAUAAACAAGAUAUUAAUUGAGUUUAGGUUUGUUUUGUGGCUAUGCAGCUUAAGGGAAGAUUGCAGCAAAGGUAUCAGAGAAAUCGGAAAUGUGUUUGGUUGAACUUUAGUUUCACUCAUGGCUAAGGCUAGUGCAGCAGCAGCGGCAGAAUAGUAAUCCCACAACCAAGAACCGAUUAAGCAUAGCAUAGAUAGGUUCACAUCUAGUUUAAUAGGUUUCAUAUAUUGGUCUCUUAUCUAUAGUUUAAUAGGUUUCAUAUUGGUCCUAAAGUUAACAAGUUUUUCAAAAAAUUAACAGCACUGAUCAAUGUGACAUCCAGGGAUCAAAGAGGAACUUUUUGUCAUUAAAUGAUCAAUGUGAAACAAAAAAUUCUUUAAGGGGUAUGUUAUUAAAGAAAUAAUUAAUACCCUUAAAUUUUUUAAAGGGAUCUAACAAUCGUUAGUUGGGUUGGUUCAGUGGUCAUUAACACUCAACUUGGUAGGGAGAACCAUGGUUCAAUUCCCGUAAUAGCGAUCGGAAGGAGCUGAAAUCACUUGAUAUCAGAACUGACCCUCAAACUAGAUUAGACGGUCCAAUCGGCCAGAGACACUUGUGGUGAAAACAAAAAAAAUUGAAAAAAAUCCUACAAAAAGGAUAAAGAAAAAAUAGAAGAUGUUCUUUCAACAAAGUUAGUAAUAUUAUAUGAUUUGUGAAGUUAACUUUAGUUAUACAAUUAUCAUGAACUAAAAGAAGAGUGGAUUCUCUCAAUUUUUUUCUUCAUGUUCCUCAAGUUUGCUAAUCACUACCCUUCAAUUCACCUUUUUACCUUUUCUCCUUUCUCUCUCUUUCCGAAUCAAGGUUUCAAAAUAAAAUUUACCCUCAAUUUAAUGGAGAUAAUCCUCUCUCAACUAAAAAUACACCCACACUCCAAUCCAAGUUUCAUAUUGCUUACGUCAACUAUAAGAAACCUGGGCUUAUUGAAUGUGCGCCGCUAAAGUUGCUCUUUGUUACGUACGUAGGAGAGUCCCACGUGUGGUUGUUCUAGUGGUGUUAGUUUGGUUCCUUGGAGUAUGAUCAUCUCAAAGUCUCAUGUUAGAUUCCCUCUGAUGUGAAUUUUGGUGGCCUAGUCCAUAUAGAAAAAGAAAAAAAAAACAUGGUUUUAAAUGGGGCCUCACAAGUGGACGGUGAGAUUGAUCCCUUGGAUUCGUCGGUCAUAGCAUCGGAUACCAAAUGUACAAAAAAAAUUAUGUACCAGACUUAGUUUGUAUAUAUGUGAAAUAAUAUCAUUUAUUAAAAAUAAUUAAUUUUUUUCUUUGAUAUAAUGUGGGCAUCAGGGUAUGGUUUGUAUUAUUGUAUAUGUGAAAUUUUAAUUUUUCACGGUGCAAGAUAAUUUUUUUUUUGGCAUUAACCCUUUAAUUUUUAGGAAAAGAGGUUCAAUAUUUUAGAGUUUAGUUGUGGGGUAAAUAAAUUCUGAUUAAAAAUUGUUCCCGUAGUUUCACUGAGCUUAACUCAAUUGGUAGGACAUCGUACUAUAUGCGUAAGAGUUCGGGUUCGAACCCAGAAAACUUCAUUUAUUCAUCUUAAAUGUGGAUUUUCUAACCACUAUGUUACUUGACAAAAAAAUAGUUUCCACAAAAAAUUGAACUCAGAUUCUUCUAAUCAACGGAGUCUAAUAAAUCUAAGGCCUUGAUUUAUGUUUAUAGCUUUUGUUCAAGGCAUUAAGACGCCAUCUUCGGUCGCAAGACACCCGCCCCCAUUGCUGAGAAGUCACAAGCCUUUCAAUAAACAUAAUAAUUUACACUAGAAUGUUUUUUUCUUUGGACAAUAUUUAACACUAUAAUGUUAGUUUUAUAGGUUGUCGAGGUGUCAUGAAUAGACUAUGAUGGAAUAACUAUCUUUUUUAUUAGAAAUAAAAUAACUCACUUUAUAAAUUUAAAUUCAUUAAGUAACCUUUGAUUUAAGAUACAGUUGUCUUAGAAUUAGGUGUUGAAUUUAACUCAUCCUUACAAAAUCAGCUUGCAAGAUAAUGAUUGACUCUAGUUUAUAAACACAUAUUCAGGUCAUCUCGCAACCGAUGUGAACCCCUCGCGAUAAUAGCGCUUGAGGCGCAGAUAUAAAUGGUGGAUGACCCGAUCAGAAACAUGAUAACAAGCAAUUCAGGGAAUUGUGGAGAGGUUCUGAUAUCAUCUUAGAAUUAGGUAUUGAGUCUAACUCAUCCUUACAAAACCGGUUUGUAAGGUGAGGAUUGCCUCUAAUUUAUAAACACGAAUAAACCGAUGUAGACUUCGUUUAACAUGUUGAUAUUACACCUUUAUAAAAUUUGUACGAAACGAUCUCUGUCAUUGAUUCACGAUCGGACAGCUAUAAUUAAUUACAGCCGCACACAGUCACUGCGUGCAAUCCGUUUGCGAAAUACACAAGUUCUCUAAAAGAAAUAGUAUAAAAAUACACACAAGUUGAUUAUUUCACUUCACAACUCUUUGCACUGUUUCUAUACAUUGUGUGAUUUCUUCUUCUUUUUCUUAUUAUUGUUUGGUGGUUUUGAAACUUUUGGUGGUUUUGAUUUGUUCUUCACAAAUUUUCACAAACCCAUUUUCUUCCAAAAUUUGAAUAUUACAAGGCAUCUCAUGGAAGACAUGAGCAUUCAGGACUUGGUUUCGGUGUUGCGUACGGCAUUUAGGACAGAAGACUUUGAUAGAGUUGAAGGUGUUUUAGUGAGUAGAUAUAACAGACUCCAAACAGAGAUUCUAGACCUUAAAGAAAAACUUGAAUUGGAGAAACAAACCAGGUUUCAAGCUGAGGAAGAUUUGAGGAAAAGAGAGGAACUGUGCGAAAGACACAAGGAUAAUUAUGAAACAUUGAUGAAGGGAGUCAAGGAAAAAACUAGUUGUUUAACUGAAAGAGACAACAUUGGAGUUGGAGAGCUAAGAAAGAAGAACAAUGCAUUGGAAAUGGAAGUUUUUGAGCUGAGAAAAAGGAGUAAGGAUGCUCAAGGUGCAUCAUCAUCAUCAUCAGGUAUGAAAAAAAGAAGUGAGGCUCUUCCUGUUCCUAUGAUUACUGAUUUUGAAGACAGAGAUGAAGAGAAUAUUAUUGGUGAAUAUGAGAUUGGCAAUGGCAUUGUGGAGCCUAAUCCUUUGCGAAGUAACGAACCUCCUAGCAAAAAGAGCAAGAAAGCCGAAGGUGCAUCAUCAGGUAUGAAAUUUAUAUGCAUUUUUAUGAAUGUUGCUUAAUAAAUAUUUGAUUAUAUUUAAUUAAGUGAUUGUUAACCUACUUUUUUGCUUCUGAAUCUCAUGUUUCCUUAGCGAUGACACAAACUAGAGGAGCUACAGUUGAUGCUGCCCAUUCUAGACAUGGAAAUCCUAUUACCUCUUGUUGUAGAGAGUCUGUAGCUAGACAUGCGCCGGUAGUAGAGGAGGUCAUUGUGAUGGGCAGUGCUGUUGUCCCUCCAUCAGACGCGCAGGUAUAACGAAUCUUGAUUACAUCUAUAUUUAUUGGUGUUAAUUUGAAUAAUUUCUUCGUGAAUUGAAGAAAUUUAGGUGGAGUUGAGCACCGUAAAAUGUAUUUCAAAUCAUGGUUGUUUGUUGCAAUGUGAAGUUAUAUGAUCUAUUAUUCUAGUGUCUUAUGAUUUUUGAGUGCACAAACAUUGAAGAGAAGCUUAAAAGAAAGAUUUUGUAGUGUUUUUCUAGAACACGUACAUCCAAGUAUCCUACCUUGUACCCAAGCACAUUUCCGAAUUCCAAAACAGAAGUAUUCAGGUCAUUCUGCACCGGUGCGCUUCCUUGUGCGCUUGUGGUGUGUUCCAGAUGCAUUGGGACUGAUUUCAAUUUGUGGUUGAAUUGAAUGUUUUUGUAGGAACAAAUGGCAAUACACUUCAUAUCAUCGGUCCAUCAAGAGCGCUAUUCUGAGUUUCUGGCCAACAAAAAGUUUGUGGAAGAAACAAACUUCCGGUUUGAAGUGGGAAAAUACACACAUAUUGAAUCGACGAUAGAGCUCAGAAAAUGGGUGAAAUUGACAUCGUUUGCAAAAGAUGCUAGUAUGACAUUAGCUAAAGAGUUCUAUGCAAAUGCAUAUCAGGAUCCUGCUAAAAAAGAUGAGAAUAAUAAGAAUAAUCUGAAGAAAUUCACUAGUUUUGUCAGAGGGAAGGAGGUUCCAUUUCAUGAUGAAAUUAUCAACGAAUUGUUUGGGCUUGAGAAGCUUGAGAACUAUAAGCAGUGUUCCUUUGAAACAAGAACGGCCAAAGGCUCUAAAAUUGAUCAUCAGGAGAUUCGUAGUACUUUGUGUAGGCCCGAGACCGAUUGGGUUAUGAACAAAGACGGAACACCAGCAAAACUCCGCACUUCUGACCUCACACCCAAUGCUAAAGCAUGGGCAACAUUUGUUUUGCGUACCUUGCUCCCGUGUUCACAUAGGUCAGACUUGACCAUUCGGAAAGCAUCCUUGGUGACUGCAAUCCUUAAGGGUGAACAAGUCAAUGUUGGCCGUCUCCUAGCAAAUGACCUUUGGGGCACAGCCAACAGUUCUAUUACCUCAAGCUACAUCGGCCAUGCAUCAUUGAUCAGCAAGCUCUGUGAAAGGGUGGAGGUGUACCCUGAAAAUAAUGAGGAAAUGGUGAAGCCAUCUGGGGCAAUCACCCCAACAUUUUGAACACGCGCAUGAACCUAAAUAAUACUGAACAUGGAAUUGUAAAGGUAUGAAGUACCUUAUUGAAGAAAAUGAAAAUGUAUUUUGAAUUGAAGUUAAUCCUACUGUCAUAUAGUAAAUUUGAAUGAAAUAAUGUUGUUCAUAACAUUGAAUUGAUAACUAUCUCUAAAGCCAAUUGUACAAUUUCUUAUGCUAAACAAAGUAUUCCUCUAACCAUUCUGGUAUGUAACAUUACAUGAAAUGAUACAAAAAGCAUAAUACACUCACAGUACAAAUCUAAAACUUAAAAUCAAAGUAGUUGAAAUAAUAGUGACAAGAUUGUCACACUCAUAUCAAGCUUAUUUUAAACAGAAAGUAAAAACUAACACACAUAAUGGAGAAAAUAAUCACAACAAUAAAACUAGGACAUUUGCACCAUCUGGUUCAUGGUUGAACCAUUAGUCCUCCUCACUCUUGUUAUCCUUUUCACUCUUCUCUUAGGCUCCCCACCAAAUAUCAUCACAAGCCAUCUAGGCUUUCCAAUAAAAAACACAAAAUAUCCAAUGCCUAUUCCAAACACAAUUCCACAUCCAUAUCCAAUUGCCACCGGUUUCCAUCCAAAUCCAAAUUGAUGUCACUGUUGUGAAUCUGAGAGAGAUUUGGUAGAAGAUUUUGUUUGGUUGAGGAUGCAAGAAGAAGCUAAAAUUGAUGUCCUGUUGAACCAAUAUUGUCUAGUUACUAUCAUGUUUCAAUCUUGUCACAAAAAUCAUUGGAAACUGCUUUGGCCAAUCACCUUUCAGUCAAACUAAGCAGUGUAAGUCUUCCUAGUACAACACUUUCUGAUCUUUUUGUUGGUGUUUUUGAAUCUGAUAAAGAAAUUAUGGAUGCUAUGAAAAAUGAUUUGAUAGCAGUUAAAGAAAGAGAUCCUGCUUGUACAAGUCAUGUGCAUUGUUUCUUAAUUGUAUCUUCAUUGCUUUGUGCUACUUCUUGUUGUAAAAGUUGUAGCAUUCUAGCUUCAAGUGAUUGCAAGAGGUGUUCGAGCUCCAUCAC